Long non-coding RNA from Gasterosteus aculeatus aculeatus (three-spined stickleback), 1303 nucleotides. Lineage: Eukaryota; Metazoa; Chordata; Actinopteri; Perciformes; Gasterosteidae. The record is from Ensembl.
GUGGACUUUUAAGGAAUAGCAGCUACUUUUACAGAAAUGCAAUUUAUGUCUCUCUGUAAUUCUCACAAUAGAAAAGUGUUAUUCUAACAACCGCCGCACUGGACCCACAGCGGGCCGAUCAAUACAUAUGCUUAAGUUUUAUCUCGACGGUGCCACAGGGGUUUGCUGAGGUGCGCUGAGAACCACAAGCGAUGAUGAAGUGAUGAAGCCUUUUGGAGCACAACUGACACCGACUGGGAAUCCCGAUCGGUGAAGCCGUUUGUUUAGUGGGAGCGGAGCGUUGUGUCGAGGUUAGUGGUUCAUACUGGUUGUUUACCCAGAUGGGGAAGUCGUGUCAGAUUUUCUUUGCCUUGAAGCUGCUUUCUUAUGUUUUAGUUGUUGGCUGGAGACUUGAUUUGCACUCAACAAACAUUUUUCGGCUGCUGAAAGCUCAGCAUAAAGUUACCAGAGCAGCAGAUGUAUCUUAAGCUUCAAUGUUUGCAUUGUUAGAAAUCAGGCUUUUGCAUUUUGUAGAAGUUUAGGCAGCUAAAUUCUAUAUACUCUCUCAUGCAUUGCUUUGUUCUUUAACAUGUGUUAUUCCUGUGAUACAACCAAGACAUUCACACUCCUCACUCGUCCAAACUUGGAGGCGCAGAUCGUUGCACUAAGUACACCCGCACCUUCAGAAUUAUUUUCCGACUUGUUGAGACGGUGAGUCAACACACUGUCAUUACAUGCAAAGUGUCCUUUUUAAAAAACCUCUCUCGGGAAGUACAAGUAGAUAUGCAGCAAGCAGCCGACAGCUCCGGUUUCCAGUAAUGUGUUGACGAACAUAACUAUGCCACAGCUACUCAACCUGUGUGUGUGUGUGUGUGUGUGUGUGUGUGUGUGUGUGUGUGUGUGUGUGUGUGGCUCUGAGGUGAGCUUUGUAGCCUUUCCACCAUGUGCUUCCUGUUUGUUGCACCUUCUUCGGUCCGACCAACCCCUGCUUGUCCCAGGCGCGUUUCUCAUUCACAGGCGCACGCACAAACAAGUCACACAAAAUAAAUGAUCCUUCACACAGAAAAACCACAGACGGCACAUUUUCCACUAGUUGAAGGAACUUUGUGAUGCUGUUUCCCAGAAGCUGCUUUUCCCUUCUGUCAUGCUGUGCAUGACGUCCUCUUGCGCGGUUUGGUGUGUUGUAAGCAUGUAUGUCUGCACGGCCCCAUGUGUGUUUUAUGUGUUUAUUUAUGCAGGUUUUGUUUGUUACAUGAGAUUGCGUGUGUGUGUCUUCGAGCUCUUCAAGCAUGUGCAACAAGUAAUUCAGGUGUUUGAAUAUCCU